UGGCCCUUAGCUCAUCGGUUAGAGCAGCGUUCUUAUACAGCGUUGGUGCGGAGUUCAAUUCUCCGAGGGCCGACCA
This 76-nucleotide transfer RNA is filed under the name Alteromonas australica. Its description in RNAcentral is "tRNA-Ile". It matches the Rfam family "tRNA". Rfam says of the family: Transfer RNA (tRNA) molecules are approximately 80 nucleotides in length. Their secondary structure includes four short double-helical elements and three loops (D, anti-codon, and T loops). Further hydrogen bonds mediate the characteristic L-shaped molecular structure. tRNAs have two regions of fundamental functional importance: the anti-codon, which is responsible for specific mRNA codon recognition, and the 3' end, to which the tRNAs corresponding amino acid is attached (by aminoacyl-tRNA synthetases). tRNAs cope with the degeneracy of the genetic code in two manners: having more than one tRNA (with a specific anti-codon) for a particular amino acid; and 'wobble' base-pairing, i.e. permitting non-standard base-pairing at the 3rd anti-codon position. The record is from RNAcentral. Lineage: Bacteria; Pseudomonadati; Pseudomonadota; Gammaproteobacteria; Alteromonadales; Alteromonadaceae.